RNAcentral lists this ribosomal RNA (597 nucleotides) under Ramboldia russula. RNAcentral's name for it is "eukaryotic LSU rRNA". It matches the Rfam family "Eukaryotic large subunit ribosomal RNA", at positions 143 to 776 of the family's 3401-position model. Lineage: Eukaryota; Fungi; Ascomycota; Lecanoromycetes; Lecanorales; Ramboldiaceae. The record is from RNAcentral.
UUGUAAUUUGUAGAGGGUGUUUCGGGCGCGGCGCCGGUCUAAGUCCCUUGGAACAGGGCGUCGCAGAGGGUGAGAAUCCCGUAUGUGACCGGUGACCAAGCUCGUGUGAAACCCCUUCGACGAGUCGAGUUGUUUGGGAAUGCAGCUCUAAAUGGGUGGUAAAUUUCAUCUAAAGCUAAAUACCGGCCAGAGACCGAUAGCGCACAAGUAGAGUGAUCGAAAGAUGAAAAGCACUUUGGAAAGAGAGUCAAACAGUACGUGAAAUUGUUGAAAGGGAAGCGUUGGCGACCAGACCUGCCCGUGAGCGAUCAACCGUUCUCAGCGAUGCACUCGACGAUCAGGCCAGCAUCGGUUUGGGCGGUCGGAUAAAGGCUUCGAGAAUGUGGCUCAGUGUUAUAGCUCGUGGUGCAAUGCGGCCAGCCCGGACCGAGGACCGCGCUUCGGCUAGGAUGCUGGCGUAAUGGCCGUCAACGACCCGUCUUGAAACACGGACCAAGGAGUCUAACAUCUAUGCGAGUGUUUGGGCGUGAAACCCAUACGCGCAAUGAAAGUGAACGGAGGUGAGAACCCAGGGCGCAUCAUCGACCGAUCCAGAUG